UAAUUACCACAAUGGCCUUGGUUCUUUAUAUGAGUGACAGCUCCUUUCUCCCUCCAGUCGAUGCUAGUCGGAACAUCAGUCACGUUUUGGUACUUGAAGGUGGAUGGCCGUGAUGACUGGCGGCUUACGCUUGGUACUGGCCUGUUGUAUCCUGUAUAUAAAGCACGAAACUCCUCGUUAGUUAAGUCUGAAAAUUCAUUGGUGCCCAACUUGUACGUCCGAUUCCCCUCCUUGUUGGCUUUCUCAAUGUAUUCAAGGUUUUGCUUGAAUAUAUUAAGACGCAUUGCCUUCUCUAGCUCGUCCUUGUAAGUGCGUCCAUGCUGAGCCAUCCAUUGUUCGUGUUUCUCAACGAUGGACGGUUCAUGCAUCGACCGGCCGGACACCACUUGUGAUGCACAAGUGAUCACCAAAAUGAUGAUCACAAACAUGGGAAUGAUAAAGCUUUUCUCAAAUUUUAAAACCAUGGUUGUUGUUUUUUUUUCCCCUCCCUUUUUGGGUAUAUUACUAAUUUGUUAGUAAUUUGUGAAUACUCGAGGCACACAUUGUUGCUCUAUAUAUAGUACUGGCUAGCAUAAAUAUGGAUCACGUUUAGUGUCCCUAAUGCAUCCAAGACGUAUGCAUUGCGUUGGUCGAUCGUUCGUGCCCCAUACUUCACGACUUUCAAUCAAAUUAGCUAAUUACCAUCAGUUAAUCACCGUGAUUAUUGCUACUUUGCUAGCUAGGAGAUUGCCGCUUGGCGACGCCGUGGCCUUAUGGCGCUAUCUAUGACAGCUCGUUCAUCAGACAUGUUACAAAAGAGUUAUGAGCUUAAAUCACGCCGCGUGGUGGAAACUUGUGUAUUACUUGAUUUCGAUAGUUUUAUUUGUUCACAAAUAAAUAAAUAAGAACGAAAAAUAGGAUCAUUAAUCUACUCAUUUGGACGGAGGGCCCAAGUCUUGCAGAAGCCACAAUACUAAUAAGGUCAGCAUGAAGGAAUGCUUAAUUCCAAGAUACAUCAAGAAUAUUAUAGCAUAAUAUACAAUUCGAAUUAAUGAAGGCAUAAUUGCAAGAAAAUAUAAUAAAAAUCAUAAAUAUGUUAUGGCUUAUAAAAAUGGAAAACCAAUCUCCAUAUUAUUACAUUUGUGAGUAUGUGUGUUUUUCCUUUAUUUGUUUUUCAAAUUGAGCAUUAUAACCCACAACUUAGAGGGGUACAAAUUGAGUUUUUUUAUUUCCACUUCCCCGCGCACCGUGAUUAAAGAAGAAUGGGAAAGGAUAAGAGGAUCAUGGGAUUGACGUGAGAGAUUUAGGGAUGGUUAUAUUUCCAUGAGUGAACUCGAGGCGAAUAUGAAGUAAAUGGAUACAAGUUAAACCAUGAAACUAAAGACAAUUCCGAAUUAGCUUUGUCUACAAACAAGGAAAGCUGUAACUAAUUUAACAAUACGAAUCUGAUGGAGAGCUUGCUCUUUGCUCGGAACGAAUGCCAGUGGCAUUCUAAUAACUAAGUUACCCUAAAAACUCAAAAGGAUUACAAAAUAAAAGAUAUGUUUAACCGUUGGAGUGGGGGCAACAGUAGAACUAAAUACAUAAAGAAAAAAAAGUCAUUAAUCACUUAAAAUUCCCUUGCUUCGUCACCAUAUUCUUUGGGCGUGUUCCUAUUCAACAUUUUCGUGAUAUAUAUCAUCUUUAUCUAAUAAGGGAUCUUUUAAGUUGUUGAAAUAAGGAACAAAAUAAAAUACAAGAAACACACAUAUUGCAGUGCAGUGUAUUUUGUCAUGUACUAUAUUAAAGUUUGUAUUUUUAUUGUCUUUUAACUUAUUUCUAACUUUAAUAACAUAAGCAAUCCUUCAAUCUAUGUGUGUGUAUUUCAAUGAUUUUUUUGGUUAACUGCUUUUUUCCAAUUGUGCUUCUCCAAAUCAUGAAAAGGAUGUUGAGCUCAUACACUCAAGAGUGUGCAUCAGCGAAUAUCAUUAAAUUAGUUUAUUUUUCUUUUUUAUAAUUUCUUUUUUUAUUAACGUAACAACACAAAUAAAAUAUUGAUAAAUAACUAUCCGAUAAGUUAAUAAUCUUGAUUAAAUAAUUAAGUCCUCAAGUUCCAAAUUGAGCCAGUGUAGCAACUAAAUAGCUUUGUUAAAUGCGUAAGACAAUACUGACUUUUUGAAUCCUUUAGGACCCUAUGAAAAUAUAAACUAAUAAUUAAUCUCAUACAAAAAUUAAUAAUGAAUAAAUUAAUAAUGCCAAAGGAGAAAGCUCAACCAGAGGACGAGGCAGAGGCAAUCCAAGAUCGAAGUAUGACAAAUCCCAAGUACAGUGCUAUAAUUGUCAAAAGUUUGGGCAUUAUGCUUCAGAAUGCAGAGCUCCAAGCACCAGAAUUGAGGAGAGAGUGAACUAUGCUGAAGAGAAAAAUGGUGAAGAUGGCACACUUUUACUAGCACACAAUGACACAAAUGGAGGUCAAGAAAAUACAUGGUAUCUUGACACAGGUGCUAGCAAUCAUAUGAGUAGAAACAAAAGUAUGUUCGUGCAACUAAGUGAAUAUGUGAAUGGCGGUAUUGCUUUUGAAGAUGAUUCAAAAGUACCAGUGGAGGGUAGAGGUAACAUUCUUUUUCGUGCAAAAGAUGGUAGUCACAAAAUAAUUUCGAAUAUUUACUAUGUGCCCAAUAUGAAAAGCAACAUUCUUAGUUUGGGUCAACUUUUAAAAAAAGGUUAUGAUAUUCACUUAAAAUAUUAUAGUCUUUUCCUAAGAGAUGACAAAGGAAAUCUAAUUACAAGUGUGAGAAUGUCAAAGAAUAGAAUGUUUCCUUUAAAUAUUCAAAAUGAUGUUGCAAAAUGUCUCAAAGGCUGUCAUAAAAAUCUAUCCUGGACUUGGCUUCUUCGAUAUGGGCAUCUCAACUUUGGAGGACUAGAGCUACUAUCUAAGAAGAACAUGGUGAAAGGUUUACCAUACAUCAAUCACUCUGAUCAAAUUUGUGAAGGAUGUUUACAUGGCAAGUAGUUCAGAAAGAGUUUUCCAAAGGAGUCAAACUCAAGAGCUCAGAAGCCACUCGAGCUCAUUCAUACUGAUGUAUGCGGUCCAUUCAAGCCAAACUCCUUUGGUAAAAGUAACUACUUCCUUCUCUUCAUAGAUGAUUUUUUAAGAAAAACUUGGGUGUACUUUUUGAAGCAAAAAUUAGAAGUCUUUGAAGCUUUCAAGAAGUUUAAAGCUGUAGUGGAAAAAGAAAGUGGAUACCAGAUUAAAGCAAUGAGAUCUGAUCGAGGUGGAAAGUUCACUUCCAAAGAAUUUUUAAAGUUUUGUGAAGCAAAUAGAAUUCGACGCCCUUUGACAGUUCCAAGAUCCCCCCAACAAAAUGGUGUUGCAGAAAAAAAGAACAGAACCAUCCUCGACGUGGCAAGAAACAUGCUUAAGAGUAAAAGGCUACCUAAAGAAUUUUGGGCUGAAGCUAUUACAUGUGCAGUCUACUUAUCCAAUCGAUCUCCAACAAGAAGCGUGUGGAGCAAGACGCCAUAAGAAGCUUGGAGUGGAAGAAAACUCGGCAUCACCCAUCUAAGAGUUUUCGGAAGCAUUGCCCAUGUAUAUGUACUAGACGAAAGUAGAGCAAAGCUGGAUGAAAAAAGUGAGAAGUUCAUCUUCAUUGGCUACGACAACAACUCCAAAAGAUAUAAGCUUUACAAUUCAAACAACGGAAAGAUCGUGAUAAGUCGAGAUGUAGUUUUUGAUGAAGAAGGAGAAUGCGAUUUUGGCUCUGGUGUGGAUGACUUCAACUUCUUUCCCAUUGAAGAAGGUGAUCAUACACAGAUAAAAUAAGUAGACGAACAACAAGAGCCUGCUACUCCACCUAUCUCACCAGCAUCAACCACAUGCGGAGAUUCACCGCCAUCUUUCUUAAAUGAAAUAACCGAAGAACGUACAAUGAGUCUUCAAGAUCUUUAUAAGGUAAUUGAAAGACGUGAUAAUCUCACUCUCUUUUGCCUCUUUGCUGAUUGUGAGACAGUCAACUUCCAAGAAGCUGCACUAGAUGAGAAGUGGAGAAUUGCAAUGGAUGAAGAAAUCAAAGCCAUUGUGAAGAACGAUACUUGGGAGCUUACUACUCUUCCCAAAGGUCACAAGGCGAUCGAUGUCAAAUGGGUGUAUAAAACAAAAAGAAAUGCGAAGGGAGAAAUUGAAAGGCAGAAGGCAAGGAUAGUUGCAAAAGGCUAUAGUCAAAAGGCUGGCACAGACUAUGACGAGGUAUUUGCUCUUGUAGCUCGACUUGAAACUAUUAGACUUAUUAUUUCUUUAGCUGCUCAGAACAAAUGGAAGAUUUUUCAAAUGGAUGUGAAGUGUGCUUUCUUGAAUGGAUUCCUUGAAGAAGAAGUUUAUAUCGAACAAUCAUUAGGCUAUGUGGUGAAAAGACAUGAAGACAAAAUUUUGAGAUUGAAGAAAGCUCUUUAUGGGUUAAAGCAAGCACCAAUGGCAUGGAAUAGUAGAAUUGACAAGUAUUUUCAAGAGAACGGCUUCACCAAAUGCCCAUAUGAACAUGCUCUUUACGUCAAAGAAAAAGCUGGAGACAUUUUGAUUGUGUGCUUGUAUGUGGAUGAUCUCAUCUUCACUGGAAGUGAUCCAAGCUUAUUUAAAGAGUUCAAGAGAGUGAUGAUCAAAGAGUUCGAGAUGACUGACAUUGGACUGAUGGCAUAUUAUCUUGGCAUUGAAGUCAAGCAAAAGGAAGAAGACAUAUUUAUCUCCCAAGAAAGUUAUGCAAAGGAGAUUCUCAAGAAGUUCAAGAUGAAUGAUUGUAAGCCUAUAAGCACGCCAGUGGAAUGCGGAGUUAAAUUAUCCAAACAUAAUGAAGGCGAAGAUAUAGAUCCAACAUUCUUUAAAAGUUUGGUCGGAAGCCUACGUUAUUUGACAUGCACAAGAUCAUAUAUCCUUUAUGUUGUUGGACUUGUUAGCCGAUACAUGGAGAAUCUAAAGACCACCCAUUUUAAAGCUGCAAAAAGAAUCAUUCGCUACAUCAAAGGUACAACUAAUUUCGGCUUGUUAUACUCAUUUUCUAAUGACUACAAGCCUGUUGGAUAUAGCGAUAGCGAUUGGGGUGGAGAUGUAGAUGAUCGAAAGAGCACCAUAUGAUUUGUGGUCUUCAUGGGAGAUAUUGCUUUCACAUGGAUGUCAAAGAAGCAACCAAUUGUCACGCUAUCCACUUGUGAAGCUGAGUAUGUAGCUGCCAUAUCAAGUGUUUGUCAUGCAAUUUCGCUCAGAAAUUUGCUGAAGGAGUUAGGUUUGCCACAAGAAGAGCCAACCGAGAUUUGUGUUGAUAACAAAUCAGCAAUUGCCCUAUCCAAGAAUCCAGUCUUUCAUGAUCGAAGCAAACACAUAGACACUCGCUAUCAUUUCAUAAGAGAGUGUAUUGCAAGAAAAGAAGUACAAAUCAAGUAUAUAGAAUCACAAGAUCAAGCAGUUGAUAUCUUCACUGAGCCACUCAAGCAAGAAGACUUCAUAAAAUUCAUAAAUUUGCUUGGUGUCACAGGAUCAAGUUUAAGGGGGGUGUUGGAUCAUAAACUUGAUCUAAGAUGAAUAAAUUCAAGCCCAACUCAUGGAAGAUUCCAUGAGUAGGUAUGGUUGGUGAGGUUUGAAUUAUUUGUGUUAGGUGUGGUAGGUGUAGUUGGUGAAGUAGGUGAGUGGUAGGUUUUAAUGAAUUGUGAGGAUUUAUGUAGUAGUUGAAUAAAUGAAUGGUUGUGAUUAGUUUGUAUCAUGUAUAAAUACCCCCUCUCCCCUUUGGUUUAAGCAUCAAGUAAAGUAACAAAAUCUCUAAGGUGUAGAGAGUGAAAAAUAAGAGUUGUAAUUGGUGAGGAGUGUUGUUGAAGAAAUAAAAUUGUGUGUUUUGUGUGUUUUAUUUGUAAAUUCUCCAACAAGGAACGAAUGUCGGUGGCAUUCUAAUAACUAAGUUAUACUAAGAACUCAAAAGGAUUAUAAAAUAAAAUAUAUGUUUAACCAUUGGAGUGGGGGCAACAGUAGAAUUAUACACAGAUACAAAAGAAAAGUCAUUAAUAACUUAAAAUUCCCUUGCUUCAUCACCAUAUUCUUUGGGUGUGCUCCUAUUCAACAUUUUUGUGAUAUAUACAUAUAUGUAUGUAUGUAUGUAUGUAUGUAUGUAUGUAUGUAUGUAUGUAUGUAUGUAUGUAUGUAUGUAUGUAUGUAUGUAUGUAUGUAUGUAUGUAUGUAUGUAUGUAUGUAUGUAUGUAUGUAUGUAUGUAUGUAUGUAUGUAUGUAUGUAUGUAUGUAUGUAUGUAUGUAUGUAUGUAUGUAUGUAUGUAUGUAUGUAUGUAUGUAUGUAUGUAUGUAUGUAUGUAUGUAUGUAUGUAUGUAUGUAUGUAUGUAUGUAUGUAUGUAUGUAUGUAUGUAUGUAUGUAUGUAUGUAUGUAUGUAUGUAUGUAUGUAUGUAUGUAUGUAUGUAUGUAUGUAUGUAUGUAUGUAUGUAUGUAUGUAUGUAUGUAUGUAUGUAUGUAUGUAUGUAUGUAUGUAUGUAUGUAUGUAUGUAUGUAUGUAUGUAUGUAUGUAUGUAUGUAUGUAUGUAUGUAUGUAUGUAUGUAUGUAUGUAUGUAUGUAUGUAUGUAUGUAUGUAUGUAUGUAUGUAUGUAUGUAUGUAUGUAUGUAUGUAUGUAUGUAUGUAUGUAUGUAUGUAUGUAUGUAUGUAUGUAUGUAUGUAUGUAUGUAUGUAUGUAUGUAUGUAUGUAUGUAUGUAUGUAUGUAUGUAUGUAUGUAUGUAUGUAUGUAUGUAUGUAUGUAUGUAUGUAUGUAUGUAUGUAUGUAUGUAUGUAUGUAUGUAUGUAUGUAUGUAUGUAUGUAUGUAUGUAUGUAUGUAUGUAUGUAUGUAUGUAUGUAUGUAUGUAUGUAUGUAUGUAUGUAUGUAUGUAUGUAUGUAUGUAUGUAUGUAUGUAUGUAUGUAUGUAUGUAUGUAUGUAUGUAUGUAUGUAUGUAUGUAUGUAUGUAUGUAUGUAUGUAUGUAUGUAUGUAUGUAUGUAUGUAUGUAUGUAUGUAUGUAUGUAUGUAUGUAUGUAUGUAUGUAUGUAUGUAUGUAUGUAUGUAUGUAUGUAUGUAUGUAUGUAUGUAUGUAUGUAUGUAUGUAUGUAUGUAUGUAUGUAUGUAUGUAUGUAUGUAUGUAUGUAUGUAUGUAUGUAUGUAUGUAUGUAUGUAUGUAUGUAUGUAUGUAUGUAUGUAUGUAUGUAUGUAUGUAUGUAUGUAUGUAUGUAUGUAUGUAUGUAUGUAUGUAUGUAUGUAUGUAUGUAUGUAUGUAUGUAUGUAUGUAUGUAUGUAUGUAUGUAUGUAUGUAUGUAUGUAUGUAUGUAUGUAUGUAUGUAUGUAUGUAUGUAUGUAUGUAUGUAUGUAUGUAUGUAUGUAUGUAUGUAUAUAUAUAUGUAUGUAUGUAUGUAUGUAUGUAUAAUCUUUAUCUAAUAAGAGAUUUUUUCAGUUGUUGAAAUAAGAAACAAAAUAAAAUACAAGCAAAACACAUAUUGCAGUGCAGUGUAUUUUGUCAUGUACUAUAUUAAAGUUUGCAUUUUUAUUGUCUUUUAACUUAUUUAUAACUUUAAUAAUGUAAGAAAUCCUUCAAUCUAUGUGUGUGUAUUUUAAUGAUUUUUUUUGUUAACUGCUUUUUUCCAAUUUUGCUUCUCCAAAUCAUGAAAAUGAUAUUGAGCUCAUACACUCAAGAGUGCGCAUCAGCGAAUAUCAUUAAAUUAGUUUAUUUUUCUUUUUUAUAAUUUCUUUUUUUAUUAACGUAACAACACAAAUAAAAUAUUGAUAAAUAACUAUCCGAUAAGUUAAUAAUGUUGAUUAAAUAAUUAAGUCUUCAAGUUCCAAAUUGAGCCAGUGUAACAAAUAAAUAGCUUUGUUAAAUGCGUAAGACAAUAUUGACUUUUUGAAUGCUUUAGGACCCUAUGAAAAUAUAAACUAAUAACUAUGAAAAUAUAAACUAAUAAUUAAUCUCAUACAAAAAUUAAUAAUGAAUAAAUUAUAUAACUCAUAAAAUUAAGGAACUUUUUUUUUUUACAAUUACUAUUAUUUGAAUUCAACUCUUUGAAAAAUAUGCAUCUAAAGUUUUUUUUUCUUUUUUGGCUUCUCUUUGUUCCUAACUGAGCGCAGCUCGUCAUUAAUUAUUUUGUAGAGCAUGCACUACAUUUAGUAUAUCUUUUUCUAUCAAUAAAGAUUUUUUUUUCUUUUUACUUCUUUGAAAUGAGAACCCAUGAAGCAGAAAAAUAUGAAAAUUAUUAUGAUAUGAGACUAGAAAUUAUAAAAUAAUCAAGUGAAACUUGAGAAUACUUUUGUAUUCAUAUUUUUCAAAAGUAAAUACUUACACAAUAGUUGUAUAUGUAUGAUUACUAGGGGUGGGUGUUCGGUUUGGGUUAACCGGUGAAACCCGAACGGAUUCAAAGCUUCAACCCGUUCGGGUUGAAGCUUUUUUUUUUUUUUUUAAGAUUCAGCUUUUAAAUUAAAAAUAUAUUUGGAAUUGAGAGUUUUAAAUUGUUGAAAUAUUAUUAAGGAUGAUUUGUAGUUGAUAUUUGCUAUUAAGGAUGUUUGGAAUUGAGAUUUUUGGAUUUUAAGUGAUUGUUAUAAUUUUUGAAUUAAAUUGUUCCUUAAGGAUUAAAAAUAUAUUUGGAAUUGAGAGUUUUAAAUUGUUGAAAUAUUAUUAAGGAUGAUUUGUAGUUGAUAUUUGUUAUUAAGGAUGUUUGGAAUUGAGAUUUUUGGAUUUUAAGUGAUUGUUAUAAUUUUUGAAUUAAAUUGUUCCUUAAGGAUGUUUGGAAUGUUUGGAAUUGAGAUUUUUAAAUUGUUGAAAUGUUAUUAAAGAUGAUUUGUAAUUGAUAUUUGUUGUUAAUGAUGUUUGGAAUUGAAAUUUUUAGAUUUUAAGUGGUUGUUGUUAGAAUUUUUAGAUUAAAUUGUUCCAACCCAUUCUAAAUCGAACUAACCCGAAUUAUUCUAACCCGAACUAACCCGAAUUAACCCGAACCGAAAUUUUAACCCGAAUUAUCAACUCAAUCCGAUCCGAAUUGCCAACCCAAACCGAACCGAACCGAAUUAAAUUCGGUUCGGUUCGGUUCGGGUUGGCGUUUUCAACCCGAUUGGGUUCAAUUCUCCAACCCGAACGGGUUGAAACCCAAACCGAAACCCGAACAACCCGAACCGAAACCCGAUUUGCCCACCCCUAAUGAUUACACAAACUAAGGAAAAGCAAAAAAGAAAUAUUGUAUAAUUACAAGUUGCUUAACAAAGCUACACUAUUAUAAGUAGUAGCCAUUUGAGAAGAUAUCAUUGACUUAAGCAACCACGAUUUAUGUUCUUUUACAGAUAAAUAUGUACAUAUAUCAAUAAAAUUCUUAAAACAAAAAAUCUCUCUCUAAAUUAAUAAAUAUUCAUUUAUUGGUAAAUUAAUAACUUCACUAAAUUGGUAUUUUUCCUUAAUCCCAACAAUAUUAUUUUAUAGAAAAUUUAUUGUAGAUGAUAUAAUGUAUUUAAAAUUUAUCCAAGACUCGGUCAAACAGUAAAAUCUAUGUAAAAUAAGAUUAAAAAAAUAUAUUAUUCUUUUCUGUCAAGUAUUCUAUGAUUUUCAUAAGAACUAAGAACAUUAAGUUUUGUGAUAGUUAAAAGACAACUCAUCAUAUCCCAUCACCUUGGAAGGUCUAAUUGAACAAUUGUUAAUGACUAGAACAAUAAUGUAGCAGUUCAAUCCAUAUGUCUCUAUAUGUCACUAUUGAGACCAAAUAUCAAUACUUCCUCUAAAAUUACAUAAAUAAAAAGGAAUUACAAAAGUGCCUCAAAAUUAAUUCUAGAAAGUAGUUGAUCUCUUGAUAUUCGCGGCAUAAUUUUUGAAGCAGUUGUUUGUAAAGUCGGUCCUAAAAUCACAAGCUCCACAAGUUGUUCGGGCAUGUGUGUGUGCCUAUAUACGUAUACAUAUACACAUACAUACAUACAUAUAUAUAUAUAUAUAAUUAGAAGGAAGAAAUUGGUAAUUUAUAUGAUUGUAUUUUUGAAAAACUAAGAAUAAAGGGAUCUAUAUAAAACUUGCCAGGGAUUAGUCCCCAAUACAAUUAAAUUAGACCAUGCUUAGUAUUGAGAUUAAGCAGUUUUAAUUUAAAUGCCACAGCACUAAAAUGUUUGGUAAAUAUUAGCUAAUAUAACUGGUUGAGGUUAUUUAAUCCAUUACUUAUAAUACUAGUCGUAUCUGAUAAAAAAAAUAUAACAUCUUUAUUAUUUUUAUCAAAGUUAUCAUUUAAAAAUCUUAUUUAUUACAUACUAUUAAGCUUUAUUUCAAAGUCAUAAUUUUUUGCUACAAUAGCUAUACUACCUCAAUACUAAACAUGACCUUAGUCAUCUCUAUAGCUAUUAUAUUUUAAUAAAUUUUAAAUAGAGCUAUCUAUGUAAAAUUUUGCAGGAUCAACCUUGACUGUAAUUGUAGACCUUUGAUAUUCGGACUUCCAACCUUGGCUGUUAGCUAUAAUCAACAAUUGUCAGAUAUCAAUUGCCGCCAACAAUAAACAAGAUCGAAUUAGCUCUCCUUAUAAAUUUUUCUUCAAUAAACCAUGAGGCAAUCACUCUCAUUAUAGAUUUGCUUCAUAAAUCAUAAGCUAACUGUGUCUUGCAAAAUCUUCAAAAAAAUUGCAACUACCAAGUUAGAAUGCUGCUUAUCGUAUUUACUCUUAAAUUUCAUCUCAUUUUUUUAGUCAUAGAUUUACUCUCCUUGUAGGAUCAAUUUUUCCUCCUCUAUCUAAAAAUUGACGUUGCAAUGGCAAGUACUUGAAAAUUACAAAAACUAUCAAUUUUUUCCCCCUAAACUAGCCGGAUCAACAUUCUGCAAAGAGAGAUUUAUGAUACCAAUUCUUAAUAACUCCAAUAAACGUACCCAAAAAAAACCCUAAGGAGAAAAAAAUGGAAGAAAGUAUAAAUAAAAUUUUUGGAUUAAUUUGUGAAAAAAGACCAAAAUGAAAUUUAAUUUAGUUCUUCUCUUGCAUAUCCUCUUGAGGAGUCCACUGCCCUUUGAUUAUAUUGUUCUUCUUUGGAAGUUUCCUUUCUCUUUUCAUAGGUAUCCUUUUGUUCCUCUUUUGAUCUUGAUUAUAUGCAUUUUCUCCAAUUACACAUGAGACUUCAUCGGACAAUUUUGCACUCGAUGAUCCAUAAUCUUGAAAAUUCAUUAGCAUCGGCUGAAAAUUUGGAGUUUCCGGCUUGGGGUGAGCUGAAAAAUUCUGUGAAUAAUCCCAAAAUCCUCUUCUUUCUGGACCAUGCAAAACCUCGUUUGUACUAUUCAGUACCAACGGAGUGGCAGUAUAUGCACCCUCAGUACCAAAAAACCCAUUUGAAUAGCCCUCAAGAGAAUCGAAACUCAUUGUUGAGAUCCCGAGAGGGGGACUUUUUGAGAUCCUUCGAUGGUAAAUCGAUUAAGAUGGUGAGGAUUUGAAAAAGUGGACUCACUAAUAAGACCAUAAUCAUGGUUAUUAUGAUAGUUGUGAAACAAUAUACCUUUAGAAGAUGGAUUUUCUAGAGAAGAGAACCCAUUACCUAGGUCUGAUUUGAAGAGAUUAUCAGAAAAUAGGCUUGAUAUGAGAGGAUAAUCAUCUCGGAAACUUGAAUCAAGUUCCAUGCAGUAGAGAGAGUAAAGAGAAAAAAGUAAAGAAAAAUAAAAAAGAAUAAAAAUUAAGCUCUCAAGAAAGGAAGGGUCGUUAAAUGUUAAAUAGAGAGAUGGGGCUAAAUUUAUGUGGGCUCUUUAAUAGGAAAAUGAGCUAAAAAUGAGUGUAUGCUUGUCAGCAAUUUAGCCCUUCGAUGACUUGCCAAGCCACUGGUUAGUAUUUCUAGUUAAUUGUGACUGUUAAUCUCCCUACGUAAGCCACAGGGUUUGUAUUUGCCAAGGGCAAAAUUGUCAAGUUAAUUUUAGGUCGUUAAAAUGCAUUGUGUUUUAGGAAGUUGUGAACUGAAAUUAAAAUCGCAUGGAAUACAUGAAUCCCUCUUUGUUACCUUAUAAGUCGUAAUUUAAUGAUUAUUUGGAUUUUAUGUGCAAAUUAAUAUAUAAAUCAGGACCGUUUGGUGGGCACCGGAUGCUUUGAAGAAGAUCAUACAGUCCAGAUACGACUGAAGGGGCACUAUUAGUGGGACAAAGCAAAGAGAAUUAAGGCUACAACAACGUUGCCUUAAUUUUAAUGAUUUAUUAGCGUUUAUUGUGUUAUUACUUUAUCACCCUUCUUCAAUUGUUUGUAUGCUUUGUGUGCGAACAAAAUUUCAGGGUCUCAUUUUUUAUUAAUUAUUGGUAAAUGCUAUUUUCUUAACCAUAAUUGAGAGUCAAUGUAAUAAUGAAAAUUGCCCAACUUCAGCUCAGUCACAUAACAUUAGUAAUGAAAAAUCAAACAAAUUCUUCGAAAAAAAUCUAGUGAAAUUUAAUUAAUAAUAAUUUUUUAAGGAUUCUUGAGAGCUUGAGCUCUUUCAUCAUGCCAAUUUAAGCUAAAAUUUUAUAUUUUCUGCUUAUAAAAAAAAAUUACUGUAAAAUAAAGGGUGAUUAAGUAACUUCAGGACCAAGUUUCCAACCACAUUUUUUGGGAUAAACCUAUGGUACUACAGUUGUAUGGUACCAUAGUUAGAUCCAACCAUUGAAUCUAGCCUACAGUUGUCACUAGAGCUAAAUUCAAUGGUUGGAUCCAGCUGUGGUACCAUACAACUGUGGCACCAUAGCUGGACCCCAUUUUUUGUCGUUUUUUAUAGUGCGAGGAGGUCUGAAACUUGGGAAGCUGGUUUCAAGCCAAGACUGCGGAGGAAGCAUGUGUCCAUAAUUUUGAAUCAAAGCGACUUUUUGUAACUGAAUUAUUAAUAUUUUUUUCCUUAUUUUUUUUAAAUAAAUGACACCAUUAAAUUCUAAUUAAUUUUUUGCUGAAACCUUUUGUUAAAUCUGGAAAUUUUACAGUUACGUAGGUUUUAAUGUGUUUUUACACAUUCAUGACAUUAAAGACUUACUAUAUAUUCGUUAAAAAUUCAAAAAUAACAUUAAUAUUAUUUAUUUAUCUUGACCAAGGACAAGGUUUGUAAAUUCUAAUCGACCUACAACUAAAUCCAGCUUUAUGUAUGCUUAAAGAUGUGGAAAUCAAGUAGAUUUUCUUUUGAUAGAUAUAUAUACAAAAACAAUGAAAUUUGGGGCCUUCUCUCUCCCCCUCUCUCUUUUCAUUUCCGCAAUUUAUAUAUAUUAUUUAUAUUAGGUUAUAACCCACCCAUAUUUUAUUACUUAUAUACUCAACAUAACAAAAAAAUUAAAUUUACAUAGAAGUUAUGGGUACCAAAGGCUUAGUAUGUAAUGAAAAUAUUAUAGCAUUCUUUAGAUUAAUUUUAAAUUCUUAAAAAAAAAUUAUAAUAGAAAUAAUACCGAUGGGUCCAGAAGGAGCUCAGGUACUGCAGGGGCUGGCGGUAUAAUUCGAAAUAGCAAAAGGGAGUGGGUGACAGGAUUCAGCAUUAAUAUUGGUGUAUGCUCGGUGACAAUGGCUGAGUUAUGGGGAAUUUUUCAGGGACGGUUGCUGGCUUGGGAGGUUGGCAUUCGUAACAUUCUCAUAGAAGCUGAUAGUGAGUGUGCAAUUCAAAUGAUUGCCAAGGGUUGUAAUACUGUUAAUGCUUGUUAUCCUCUGAUUCGUGAUAUAAAGAGGCUGAUGGAUCAUAAUUGGCGAGUAGCUUUGCACCAUGUUUAUAGAGAAUCAAAUAAUGCAGCAGAUUUUAUGGCUUCUCAUGCCCUCAAGCUUCCUCUGGGAGUUCACAUAUUUGUGUCCCCCCCUCCUGAGAUUUCUACUUGGCUUUUGUAUGAUGGAUUGGGGAUCUCGAUCCCUCGCCGAGUGAUUGCUUAGCCUUGUUUUGGGCUACUUAUUGUACCGAAAAAAAAAAAAGAUGUGGAAAUCAAGUAGAUUUUCUUUUAAUAGAUAUGUACAGAAACAAUGAAAUUUGAGGCCAUAUCUCUCUCUCUCUCUUCAUUUCCGCAAUUUAUAUAUAUUAUUUAUAUUCGGUUAUAACCCAUCAAGAUUUUAUUACUUAUAUACUCAACUACUAUAUAAUAAUAACAUUUAAAUUUAAAUAUAAGUUAUGGGUACUAAAGGCUUAGUAUGUGAUGAAAAUAUUAUAGCAGUCUUUAGAUUAAUUGUAAAUUCUCUAACAAAAUUGAAUUUAUAAUAUAAAUAAGACUGUAAUGGUUGUAACUACAGGUGAAAAUGGAAUGUGGAAAUUUUCUCUAUUUAGGAGUAAAGUCUUGUCCAUCUUUUGUCUUUUAUAUAUAUAUAUACACACACACACUAAAAUUUAUUGGAAAGCUAGAUAAUUUCUUGGAUGGGUAUUGCAUGCAAAUGCAAAAUAAUGGGGCCCUUUUUUUAUUUCUAACUAAAAGUUAAUUAAAUGAAAGGAAAAAUGACUAACACACCCCCAACCUUUAGACAAAGGGACAAAAACCUCAUAACGUUUCGAAAAAGACACUUACACCCCUAUUCACUAACGGAAACAAUUACUUUUAACAGAAAUAGUAAUUUUAAUAUAUAAUUACCAUUAUACCCUUCUAGCACAUAAAAAAAAUAAUUGUUAAAAUUAUAAAUAUACCCUCAUUGCUCAAUUCCUCUAUUUAAUUUUUUAUCAAAUUCUCUCUUCAAGCCAAAUAAAUUUAAUCCAUUACUCAAGAAUAUAAAUAAAUAAAAUUAGUUAUUAAUGCCAUAAGAAUAACAAUUCUCUACAUGUCAAUCAUUUAAACUUGUAUAAUCAAAAAAUUAGAAAAAAAAGGCUGGUUACAACAAUAAUUACAAAAAUCUUACCUUAAUUGUAUUAAAUAACAUAUCCAAUAGACAUAAAAAUUGAUAAUGGAUUAAAUUUAUUUGGCUUGAAGAGAGAAUUUCAUAAAAACUUAAAUAGAGGAAUUGGACAAUGAGGGUAUAUUCAUAAUUUUAAUAGCAAUAUAUGGACAAAUUAGACAAUUAACAAUUAUUGUUUUAUGUGCUAGGAGGGUAUAACGGUAAUUAUAUAUUAAAAUUACUAUUUCCAUUAAAAGUAACUGUCUCUGUCAGUGAAUAGGGGUAUAAAUGUCUUUUUCGAAACCCUAAAGGGGUUUUUGUCCCUUUAUCUACAGGUUGGAGGUGUUAGUCAUUUUCCCUAAAUUAAAAAUUGUGUUAAUAGACAAAGAUGAUGAUUCUGUGGGGGUGGUUACGAAUGGGCUCAUCAAUAGGCGGCUUCUCAUAGUCCAACAUUCUUCUCUUCUUAUGUUUAUGAUAACCAUUGGAUGGCUUAGGCCUCGGCUGUAAAAAGGAUGGGAAACCCCUCAUUUUAGUUUACUGAAUGCAAUAUAAAAAGAAAUAGCAGGACAUAAUAAUCAUAAAAUGGGGAAGACAAUUACCUUAUCUUCUAUUUCCGCCAGAAGUGCAUCAGCAGCCUUUGCCAUUUGCGCGGCACAUAUAAAAUCUGUCAACUCUGCAAUAGAGGUGUUUGGCCCUGCAAUGUUUGAAGAGGUAACAAUAAAGAUAAGAAACUAGAAACCACACAACCACACAUUAUAACAAAGAAAGGCUCGAUGAUGUUUUGCAGGAAAAUGAGUACUAUCAACACCUCUGGUACAGUAAUAUCCGAGUUGCAUAACUGCUGUACGGCCAUUAAUGAAUAAACAUUCUCUUAAGAAUCAUGCAUGGUUAUAGUUUAGAAUGGAUUGUGGAUGGUAGUUGGUUUAAUUGUAAAUUUGCUUAAAGUGGUACAAGAGAUAUAACUUCAAAUCACAAAUUUACAUCAAAAUUAAGAAAUAUUAAUAUUUUGUUUAUUUUCGUGAAGUACCUUAAAAAAUAGGUUUUUUUUUCCCUCUCUCUCUCUCUAACAUAGCCCUUGUUCAAGCCGAAAAUCUAUUUAUAUGGAUACUUCAAUGAUACGUGAUAGUAUGUAUGUAUAUAUACGUAUUUGUGUGCAUAGGUAUGCAUAUACACAGAAAAUCUAUUUUUUAUGCCAGUCAUACCACUUUGGCGUGUUGAGUUGGCAUGCCCAAUUUACAUAUUCUAUCAAAAAAAUAUAGCAGUGAGUCUUAUAGUGAGAUUACUGGUGUCACACAAUAGUAUGCAUCAUAGUGGGAUCAGCGGUGUCACAUAAUCUAAUAGGAGAAAUUCUAGAAUUUCUUAUCUAAUAGAUAUAGGAUUCACAAAAUUUACCUUUAGUGGUUAUAAAACUUUGGAAUAUGAAUCAAAUAAAAUAAUUUGUAUGUUAAUUUUAUGUGUGUGAGAUUUACAGUCAUAAAUAAUAAAAUAAAAUAAACAUUGACAAUGGCAUAAACAUAUAGUAAUAUAAAACCUCUCUUUUUUUUUUUUAAGUGAACCUCCGCAAAGAGAAGAAAUAUUUAUUAACGGUACUUGUAUAAACAUUAUCAAAACUGAUGUAAAAAAUCUACUCUAAUGUCACAAGCUUUUAUUGAUUGAGUUGCAAAAUAUACAUCAACCUAAUUCGAGUGGUAUGCGUAACUAUAAAUUUUCUCUUCGGUUCUAAUAACUAAAAUCUUUUAUGGUUACCAUGAAAUUUAACUUAAUUUGAGCCAUUUUUAUACUACAAAAUUUCUAUUUUGAUCUUGUAGCGAAACUCAUUUCCAUCAUUAUAUCAUUCACUAAAUUGAGAGUGAUGCAUAUGAGAAGAAUAAAUGCUCAGAAGAAAAUGAAGUUGUUGCUCAUCGAGGAUAUGCAUAUAUGUUAUUUCACUUCAUUUAUAUUCUCAAAACAGUACUUAAGUUUCACGGUCAAUAUCUGUUGUGAGGAGCGUGAAUGUGUUUUAAAACAUGAGCGGGUUCCAAUUAAUUUCUCCAAAUUAACAACUGGAGCCCGUAUUUUCCUCAAUUUUCUCCAAAAAAACUUUUGUUUAAAAAAAAACCUUUAAAUUUACCAAUAGGAAUUUGAUAAAUAAGUAAUAUAAUUAAUUUAUUGCUUAAAUUGUAAUAAAGUAAUUGCGGCGAAGAUCAAAAUUAUAUUUAAACAAGAGAUUUAACGUUAAUUAUAGAAGACACCAAGUAUACUGGCAUUAAUUCCAUUACAAACAUUAAGAAAUAUAGAAAAUUAACCACACAAUAGAUAAAUAUCAGCUUUCAGUGGCUAGCUAAUACAUCCGUGGGUUAAUUUGAAGUUGAUGAAGAUAUCAUCAAUACUCCAAAACUAAUUAAGAUUCCAACAAGAUUAAAUUAUUUCCAUAUGUAGGAUAGCACAACCUAAUUGAUACUGCUAUGAUGAAGAGGAGGCUAAUAAAAUAUAGUAGUCAUGCAACUGGAUAGGAAGCCGCAGUGGCAAUGCCACAGAGACCUGCAUCUCUGAGAAUCCUUAUGUAGCCGGACUCACCCCAAGUCUCCCCCCACGAAUUCUUAAUUAACCAGUAUUUGGCUCCAUUUUCUUCUUCAGCAGUUCCAAACCCAACAACAGCGACACCAUGAUCACAGUUAUUCCCACAGUCUGCAUUAAGCACGCCGCUUUUGUAAAAAUGGAAGGCUCGUCCGCUCGCUUCAACACAAACUGAUACUGGCUGCUUGCUUACGGCCUGGAGUAAGGCUUGCUCGUCACCUUGCGGUAAAUCUUCAUAUUUACUGAUUGUAGCGGCAACAGCUUUCUCCUUCUGUUUGUCACAGGUUCCUUGUUCUCGCCGGUACGGAUAGUCCGCUUCUGAGGCAAGGCCCUUGUUUUCUAUAAUAUACUCAAAGGCUUUAUCCAUAAGACCCCCACUGCAUCCAUGGUUGUCUGUUGAGCAGUCUACCAACUGCUGCCCCGAAAGUUCAAUCAGUUUUCGACUAGUAAUCUGAGUGAUCCCUUCCACCGCCGCCACAGCUGAAAAUGCCCAAGAGGAUCCUGCAAAAUAAUAUUGCAUGUUACGUUAGACGACGAAUAAUAAUAUUAUAUAAUAAUUUGUUGUACAUGAUGUGACAGCUACAAACAAUCUGCAGCAUCACUUCAUCAAUAUAUAUAUAAUUAAUUAAUUACCACAAUGGCCUUGGUUCUUUAUAUGAGUGACAGCUCCUUUCUCCCUCCAGUCGAUGCUAGUCGGAACAUCAGUCACGUUUUGAUACUUGAAGUUGGAUGGCAGUGAUGACUGGCGGCUUAGGCUUGGUACUGGCGAACAUCAGUCACGUUUUGGUACUUGAAGGUGGAUGGCCGUGAUGACUGGCGGCUUACGCUUGGUACUGGCCUGUUGUAUCCUGUAUAUAAAGCACGAAACUCCUCGUUAGUUAAGUCUGAAAAUUCA
RNAcentral lists this long non-coding RNA (18181 nucleotides) under Citrus sinensis (sweet orange). RNAcentral describes it as "long non-coding RNA (CSIN_LNC000937)". Lineage: Eukaryota; Viridiplantae; Streptophyta; Magnoliopsida; Sapindales; Rutaceae. The record is from RNAcentral.